Molecule: long non-coding RNA, 451 nt
Filed under: Heterocephalus glaber (naked mole-rat)
Lineage: Eukaryota; Metazoa; Chordata; Mammalia; Rodentia; Bathyergidae
Description: lncRNA (ENSHGLG00100044851.1)
Source: RNAcentral
AGGACAAGCAGGUUCAAGCUCCUGAGGCCCUCCUGGCCCAGUGGGACAGGACAAGCAGGUUCAAGCUCCUGAGGUCUUCCUGGCCAGAUGAGACAGGAUAAGCAGCUUCAAGAUCCUGAGGCCCUCCUGACCAGGUCACACAGGACAAGCAGCUUCAAGUUCCUGUGGCCAUAUUGGCCCAGUGAGACAGGGCAAGCAGCUUCAAGAUCCUGAGGCCCUCCUGGUCAGAUGAGACAGGACAUGCAGGUUGAAGCUCCUGAGGUCGUCCAGGCCAGGUGUGACAGGACAAGUAGAUUCAAGCUCUUGAGGCCCUCCUGGCCCAGUGAGACAGGACAAGCAGGUUCAAGCUCCUGAGGCUGUCCAGGCCAGGUGAGACAGGACAAGCAGCUUCAAGCCCCUGUGGCCAUCCUGGCCCAAUGAGACAGGAAAAGCAGCUUCAAGCUCCUGAGGC